RNAcentral lists this ribosomal RNA (497 nucleotides) under uncultured bacterium. RNAcentral's name for it is "partial 16S ribosomal RNA". It matches the Rfam family "Bacterial small subunit ribosomal RNA", at positions 28 to 507 of the family's 1533-position model. The record is from RNAcentral.
GAUGAACGCUGGCGGCGUGCCUAAUACAUGCAAGUCGAGCGAACGGACGAGAAGCUUGCUUCUCUGAUGUUAGCGGCGGACGUGUGAUUAACACGUGGCUAACCUACCUUUAAGACUGGGAUAACUUCGGGAAACCGGAUCUAAUACCGCAUAAUAUUUUGAACCGCAUGGUUCAAAAGUGAAAGACGGUCUUGCUUUCACUUAUAGACGUAUCCGCGCUGCAUUAGCUAGUUGGUAAGGUAACGGCGUACCAAGGCAACGAUGCAUAGCAGACCUGACAGGGUGAACAGCCACACUAGAACUGAGAGACGGUCCAGAAUCCUAAGGGAGGCAGCAGUAGGGAAUCUGCCGCAAUGGGCGAAAGCCUGACGAAGCGACGCCGCGUGAGUGAAGAGGGUCUUCGGAUCGUGAAGCUCUGUUAUGAGGGAAGAACAGAUGUGUAAGUAGAUGUGGACAGCUUGACGGUACCUAAACAGAAAGAGAAGGCUAACUACGUG